GCAAAAAAUAAUGUAAUUUGCAUCGACGUAAUUCAUGCCGAUGUAACAAAUAUUCGAUGUAACCGCUAAUUUCAAGUGCAAAAUGGCAUAUUUUUGAUGUUAUAUUACAUCGCUUAGAAAUUACACAAAAAUAUCAUUACCAUUUUUCAUCACAUUGACUUUGUGUAAUAUUCACAUCUAAACUAUAUGAAUAUUACACAGAAACAAAUGCAACCAAGUCAUUCCGAUAUGCCUUAGUAAUAUUACACAAAUUCAAUGCUAUUUCGCAUGCGUUACGAAUGCAAUAAUAAGUCCCGCAACACUGCCCAGACUUUGUUUCGGUCGGUGUCUGACGAAGUGUCAUGGCGUCAGAUUCCGUGCGCGUUUGCAUCAGAUUUUAUUUUUGUCGAGUUUGCAUGCAGAUAUUUCCUGCUAUUAGAAUAAAUUUAAUCAAUGGUAAGUAAACACCUGUUUAAAUAUGAUUUUAACAAACCAAUAAUAAUUAUUAAUGGCCAUUCAACAUUGUUCGUUCCAGGUCAAAAAUUCUUCCGGAAUUUCUCGGAAGGUUUCCUUUAGGAGUUCUUCCAGGAGUUUCUAGAAGUACAUCCAGGAGUUCCUCCAGAAAUUGCUGCCAAAGUUCCUCCGGAUGGCAGUAAAGGCCUCGUUAGAACGGUGCGUAAUUUCGAGUCCCAAGAAGAGGUGGUCGUCGUUUACAACAAAGGCACUGCUAGCAACUAUUGGUGCGCGGACGCAUCUGAUCUUCGAAUCCAGAUAGUGCCCCGACCGAAAUUAAACACGAGAGAACCAUGUACGACAGAUGCCGAUAAUUGUCAUAUCCUGGAAGUGUGCCGAGUGUAACAAUUACGAUCUGUGCUCGAUCUGCUAUCACGGAGAUAUGCAUCAUUUGAGGAAUCGGUUGCAUCGAAUUUUGAGACCAGGUGGCGAAAAAACGCUGUUGGAACCGCAACGCAAAUUAAAAAAGAUUGCAGUGCGGGGGAUUUUUCCUGGGGCACGUGUUGUCCGAGGAGUCGAUUGGCAGUAGGAAAAUCAGGACGGUGGUAAUGGCCGACGCGAAAAGGUCAAUGUAAUUCAGGACUGGCCUUCGGCUUCGACAAAAUCAGAGCUGCACUGCAACAAUUUGCUGUGGGUGAUUUUGUCGAGAUUUGCAGUGAUUUGGAGAGUAUCAAGUGCAUUUUCAUCGGAUGGAUCAACGGCUGUUACUACAAAUGGAGAACGAUUGUCGGCACUUUUGGAAAAGUUAUUUGAACCACACGCGUCUGAUGAUACGACUGAAGAAUUGGUGAAGGCAGCCAAUAGUGAUGUUGCUAAGGAUUGAACCCAACUAUUCAGAAAAACCAGCUAGCAGAAGUUCGGGAGGAAUCCAAAUCCGUAGAGACGCCUAUUACGUAUAAGGAAAAAGGAAUAAAAAAAUAAUAAUAAUCAGGUUCAACAGACUUGUACGAACUGCUCAAAAUGGUUCACAGUCUACUCUGGAAGUCAACACACAAGAUCGAGCGUCUUCUAGAAUUCAUCUCUCUGGGUGCCAUUACGAAGGACUACAUAUAAUUAAAAAAUAAAAUAAAUAUAAAAAAGGAUUUAUAAUAAAAUAAAAUAAAAUUUA
RNAcentral lists this long non-coding RNA (1600 nucleotides) under Aedes aegypti (yellow fever mosquito). RNAcentral's name for it is "lncRNA AAEL020523". The record is from RNAcentral. Lineage: Eukaryota; Metazoa; Arthropoda; Insecta; Diptera; Culicidae.